RNAcentral lists this non-coding RNA (45 nucleotides) under Schistosoma mansoni. Lineage: Eukaryota; Metazoa; Platyhelminthes; Trematoda; Strigeidida; Schistosomatidae. The record is from RNAcentral.
AUCCAACUGUUGAGUCUUGAAUAGGACGAAACGCACUUCAUGGAU